RNAcentral lists this non-coding RNA (927 nucleotides) under Allobates crombiei. RNAcentral describes it as "12S ribosomal RNA". It matches the Rfam family "Bacterial small subunit ribosomal RNA". Lineage: Eukaryota; Metazoa; Chordata; Amphibia; Anura; Aromobatidae. The record is from RNAcentral.
AAAGGUUUGGUCCUAGCCUUGAAAUCAGUUCUUAGUUAUUUUACACAUGCAAGUCUCCGCACCCCUGUGAAAACGCCCUUAAACUCCUAGUAGGAGCUAGGAGCUGGUAUCAGGCACAUAUUAGCCCAAGACACCUAGCCUCGCCACACCCACAAGGGACCUCAGCAGUGAUUAACAUUGAUCAUAAGCGACAGCUUGACUCAGAUAAACUAUAUAGAGCCGGCCAAUUUGGUGCCAGCCGCCGCGGUUACACCAGAAGCUCAAACUGAUAUCUAUCGGCGUAAAGCGUGAUUAAAGUAAUCUACCCCUUGGAAUUAAACUAAUACUGAGCCGUGGCACGCCUGUACUCAAGAAACCCAUAAACGAAAGUUAUUCCAAUUAUACCCACUUGAACUCACGACAACUGAGACACAAACUGGGAUUAGAUACCCCACUAUGCUCAGUCGUAAACUUUAAACUACACCCUACUCGCCCGGGAACUACGAGCCAAGCUUAAAACCCAAAGGACUUGACGGUACCCCACAUCCACCUAGAGGAGCCUGUCCUAUAAUCGAUAAUCCACGUUUAACCUCACCAUUUUUAGCUUAUCAGCCUGUAUACCUCCGUCGUCAGCUUACCACGUGAGCGCCAGUGAGCUAAAUGUCCACCCGACAACACGUCAGGUCAAGGUGCAACUUAUAAAAUGGGAAGAGAUGGGCUACACUUUCUACCAUAGAACACACGAAAGACUAAUCAUGAAAUCUAGUUAGAAGGCGGAUUUAGUAGUAAAUAGGAACCAGAAAAUCCUCUUUAAUUCGGCACUGGGGUGUGUACACACCGCCCGUCACCCUCCUCUUUUGCCACAAUGCAGUUUUUAACAAAAUUCAGCUCUUUAGAAGAGGUAAGUCGUAACAUGGUAAGCAUACCGGAAGGUGUGCUUGGAAUCAA